UUCUUGGAAAUUGGAUCUUUCCCUUCUUCAUCUUCAUCUUCCUCCUUCUUUGGCUUUCUCUGACCAGUAAGGUCCAGAGAGCAAUCAAUAUCUUCAAUCACGAUGAUAGACUUGCUCUUAGUCUCGAUCAAUAGCUUCCUAAGCUCGCUGUUGUCCUUCACCGUGGUCAACUCAAGAUCGUAGAUAUCAUAAUUCAAGAAAUUAGCCAUUGCAGCUAUCAUAGUUGAUUUCCCAGUUCC
Molecule: unclassified non-coding RNA, 239 nt
Filed under: Hevea brasiliensis (rubber tree)
Lineage: Eukaryota; Viridiplantae; Streptophyta; Magnoliopsida; Malpighiales; Euphorbiaceae
Source: RNAcentral